This 440-nucleotide ribosomal RNA is filed under the name uncultured bacterium. RNAcentral's name for it is "bacterial SSU rRNA". It matches the Rfam family "Bacterial small subunit ribosomal RNA", at positions 338 to 794 of the family's 1533-position model. The record is from RNAcentral.
CCUACGGGGGGCAGCAGUGGGGAAUAUUGCGCAAUGGGCGGAAGCCUGACGCAGCGACGCCGCGUGGGGGAUGACGGCCUUCGGGUUGUAAACCUCUUUCAGCAGGGACGAAGUUGACGUGUACCUGUAGAAGAAGCGCCGGCUAACUACGUGCCAGCAGCCGCGGUAAUACGUAGGGCGCAAGCGUUGUCCGGAAUUAUUGGGCGUAAAGAGCUCGUAGGCGGCCUGUCGCGUCUGCCGUGAAAGCCCGUGGCUUAACUGCGGGUCUGCGGUGGAUACGGGCAGGCUAGAGGCUGGUAGGGGCAAGCGGAAUUCCUGGUGUAGCGGUGAAAUGCGCAGAUAUCAGGAGGAACACCGGUGGCGAAGGCGGCUUGCUGGGCCAGUUCUGACGCUGAGGAGCGAGAGCGUGGGGAGCGAACAGGAUUAGAUACCCUAGUAGU